Molecule: ribosomal RNA, 443 nt
Filed under: uncultured bacterium
Lineage: Bacteria
Description: partial 16S ribosomal RNA
Rfam family: Bacterial small subunit ribosomal RNA
Source: RNAcentral
CUACGGGGGGCAGCAGUGGGGAAUAUUGCACAAUGGGCGAAAGCCUGAUGCAGCAACGCCGCGUGAGGGACGACGGAAGGUGGGUUGUAAACCUCUUUUAGCAGGGAAGAAGCGAAAGUGACGGUACCUGCAGAAAAAGCACCGGCUAACUAAGUGCCAGCAGCCGCGGUAAUACGUAGGGUGCAAGCGUUGUCCGGAAUUAUUGGGCGUAAAGAGCUCGUAGGCGGGUUGUCGCGUCUGCUGUGAAAAUCCGAGGCUCAACCUCGGACCUGCAGUGGGUACGGGCAAACUAGAGUGCGGAGGGGAGAUUGGAAUUCCUGGUUUAGCGGUGGAAUGCGCAGAUAUCAGGAGGAACACCAAUGGCGAAGGCAGAUCUCUGGGCCGUAACUGACGCUGAGGAGCGAAAGCGUGGGGAGCGAACAGGAUUAGAUACCCCCGUAGUC